This 510-nucleotide ribosomal RNA is filed under the name uncultured bacterium. RNAcentral's name for it is "partial 16S ribosomal RNA". It matches the Rfam family "Bacterial small subunit ribosomal RNA", at positions 28 to 507 of the family's 1533-position model. The record is from RNAcentral.
GACGAACGCUGGCGGCGUGCUUAACACAUGCAAGUCGAACGAAGAGCGAUGGAAGCUUGCUUCUAUCAAUCUUAGUGGCGAGCGGGUGAGUAACGCGUAAUCAACCUGCCCUUCAGAGGGGGACAACAGUUGGAAACGACUGCUAAUACCGCAUACGAUCUAAACUCGGCAUCGAGGAUAGAUGAAAGGUGGCCUCUACAUGUAAGCUAUCACUGAAGGAGGGGAUUGCGUCUGAUUAGCUAGUUGGAGGGGUAACGGCCCACCAAGGCGAUGAUCAGUAGCCGGUCUGAGAGGAUGAACGGCCACAUUGGGACUGAGACACGGCCCAGACUCCUACGGGAGGCAGCAGUGGGGAAUCUUCCGCAAUAGACGAAAGUCUGACGGAGCAACGCCGCGUGAGUGAUGACGGCCUUCGGGUUGUAAAGCUCUGUUAAUCGGGACGAAAGGCCUUCUUGCGAAUAGUGAGAAGGAUUGACGGUACCGGAAUAGAAAGCCACGGCUAACUACGCG